This 989-nucleotide ribosomal RNA is filed under the name human gut metagenome. RNAcentral describes it as "bacterial LSU rRNA". It matches the Rfam family "Bacterial large subunit ribosomal RNA", at positions 1934 to 2925 of the family's 2925-position model. The record is from RNAcentral.
CCGUAACUAUAACGGUCCUAAGGUAGCGAAAUUCCUUGUCGGGUAAGUUCCGACCCGCACGAAAGGCGUAAUGAUUUGGGCACUGUCUCGACAAUGCACCCGGUGAAAUUGAAAUACCAGUGAAGAUGCUGGUUACCUGCGCCAGGACGGAAAGACCCCAUGGAGCUUUACUCUAGCUUGAUACUGGGGUUCGGUAUUGCAUGUACAGGAUAGGUGGGAGACUGAGAAGAUGUGUCGCCAGAUGCAUCAGAGUCGAUGUUGGGAUACCACCCCUGCAGUACUGGGCUUCUAACCUGCAGCCGUGACCCGGCUGGGGGACAAUGUCUGGUGGGGAGUUUGACUGGGGCGGUCGCCUCCGAAAGGGUAUCGGAGGCGCUCAAAGGUUCCCUCAGAAUGGUUGGAAACCAUUCGAAGAGUGCAAAGGCAGAAGGGAGCUUGACUGCGACACCGACGGGUGGAGCAGGUACGAAAGUAGGACUUAGUGAUCCGGUGGUAUAAAGUGGGAUUGCCAUCGCUCAACGGAUAAAAGCUACCCUGGGGAUAACAGGCUUAUCACUCCCAAGAGUUCACAUCGACGGAGUGGUUUGGCACCUCGAUGUCGGCUCAUCGCAUCCUGGGGCUGUAGUAGGUCCCAAGGGUUGGGCUGUUCGCCCAUUAAAGCGGUACGCGAGCUGGGUUCAGAACGUCGUGAGACAGUUCGGUCCCUAUCCGGCGUGGGCGUAGGAUAUCUGAGAGGAGCUGUCCUUAGUACGAGAGGACCGGGAUGGACUGACCUCUGGUGCACCGGUUGCAUUGCCAAAUGCAUAGCCGGGUAGCCAAGUCGGGACGGGAUAAACGCUGAAGGCAUCUAAGCGUGAAGCCCCCCUCAAGAUGAGAUAUCCCUCAGAAAUGAGUAAGACCCCUUGAAGACUACGAGGUAGAUAGGAAUGAGGUGUAAGCACAGCAAUGUGUUCAGCUGACAUUUACUAAUCGGUCGAGGGCUUGACCAA